CCUACGGGCGGCAGCAGUAGGGAAUCUUCCACAAUGGGCGAAAGCCUGAUGGAGCAACGCCGCGUGGGUGAAGAAGGUCUUCGGAUCGUAAAACCCUGUUGUUAGAGAAGAAAGUGCGUGAGAGUAACUGUUCACGUUUCGACGGUAUCUAACCAGAAAGCAACGGCUAACUACGUGCCAGCAGCCGCGGUAAUACGUAGGUGGCAAGCGUUAUCCGGAAUUAUUGGGCGUAAAGGGCACGCAGGCGGUUUUUUAAGUCAGAUGUGAAAGCCCUCGGCUUAACCGGAGAAGUGCAUUGGAUACUGGGAGGCUUGAGUGUCGUAGAGGGGGGUAGAACUCCAGGUGUAGCGGUGAAAUGCGGAGAUAUAUGGAAGAAUACCGGUGGCGAAGGCGGCUUACUGGAC
Molecule: ribosomal RNA, 404 nt
Filed under: uncultured bacterium
Lineage: Bacteria
Description: partial 16S ribosomal RNA
Rfam family: Bacterial small subunit ribosomal RNA
Source: RNAcentral